This 105-nucleotide small nuclear RNA is filed under the name Fukomys damarensis (Damara mole-rat). Lineage: Eukaryota; Metazoa; Chordata; Mammalia; Rodentia; Bathyergidae. The record is from RNAcentral.
GUGCUUGCUUUGGCAGCGCAUAAGCUAGAACUGGACACAACCAAGGAGAUUAGCAUGGCUCCUUUCUAAGACGCCAUGCAAAUUUAUGAAGCCUUCCGUAGUUUU